GUGAGGAAUAUUGCGCAAUGGAGGCAACUCUGACGCAGCCAUGCCGCGUGCAGGAAGAAGGCGCUACGCGUUGUAAACUGCUUUUAACCGGGAAGAAACCCCAGGACGUGUCCUGGGUUGACGGUACCGGAGGAAUAAGCACCGGCUAACUUCGUGCCAGCAGCCGCGGUAAUACGAAGGGUGCAAGCGUUAUCCGGAUUCAUUGGGUUUAAAGGGUGCGUAGGCGGAGCGUUAAGUCAGUGGUGAAAUCCUGCAGCUUAACUGUAGACUUGCCAUUGAUACUGGCGCUCUUGAGUGCGCUUGAAGUGGGCGGAAUGUGUCGUGUAGCAGUGAAAUGCUUAGAUAUGGCACAGAACACCAAUUGCGAAGGCAGCUCACUAAGGCGAUACUGACGCUGAGGCACGAAAGCGUGGGGAUCGAACAGGAUUAGAAACCCGAGUAGUCC
Molecule: ribosomal RNA, 445 nt
Filed under: uncultured bacterium
Lineage: Bacteria
Description: partial 16S ribosomal RNA
Rfam family: Bacterial small subunit ribosomal RNA
Source: RNAcentral